GUAUAAAUGAUACAUACAGGUAUUCCGAUAUAUCCAUCGGGAUAAAAAGGGAAUCCCAACUCCCAUUUUAAACGACUCCAUAAAUUGAUCAUUUUUUAUCUGUGUAAUCUGCGUCAUCUGUGGUUUCAAAUGGGAGAAAAGGGAACGGUACCGCCGCUGUAUUCGGUGACGAAUGUUGCAAGAGCCACUGGAAAGCCGUUUAAACUGAUUAAACGGUUUUCCGGGAAGGCGCAGCAAGUAGGAUGAUCCGCUAAGUCAGAAGACCUGCCUGUCAUGUUUUGCUGAG
This 286-nucleotide non-coding RNA is filed under the name Candidatus Jettenia. Lineage: Bacteria; Pseudomonadati; Planctomycetota; Candidatus Brocadiia; Candidatus Brocadiales; Candidatus Brocadiaceae. The record is from RNAcentral.